GAAAGAUGAACCACUAACCGAUUCCAAGGAGAAAUUCAAAAUUGAGUUCUUCUAUACUGUGGUGGAUACCACUAUUAUAUCUUUGGAUGAGUGCUUUGGCCAGCUGUAAAUUCAUAAAAAUGUAUGGGGAUGCCUGUAAAACAUAAAGUGUCUGCCAGCAAGGGAAAAUUUAAAGGAUUACUGCAUGCUGUUACAAAGGGCUUUGAAAGGAUAGCCAGUCACAUAGAGAUGGCAUAGAGAUGGUAUAGAUGGAUUAAUUUCUGUCUCUCUUCCUCAAUGUACAAGUAAGGUGACAGUUAUAUAAAAUCAUACACAAUAAAAUCAGGACUAUAAUAACAAAAAGGAUAGAAGAAUGAUUUCAUUAUCUGGGAUCCAGUAGGGGACCAACCAGUAAAGCAUUGUACCAAUGAUGGGCUAAGUCAUUCUGAAUUUGUGAACUCACCUUAAGGAGUUCUCCUUUUAGGAUAUGUGUGGCUACCUGUGUGUGUUAUCUUUGGGAAAAAUAUAGUCCCCUGUGUAUGUGGGUGCCCACCAGGUUAAAUUCUUGGCAAAAAGAUCAUAAACUGGUACUGGUAAUGUGUUAAAUUGACAAGCUAAUUUAACAUCCUUUGAUGAUGUAUGAUAUAAUGUAAAAUAGCAUGAGCAUGAAAAAUGUGAAACAUUACCAGUUAACCAUCCAUUGCAUUUAGUGGAUUGGGGUUUUAGAAGUAACCAUUCAUUAUCUGUGAGGUUACGCUUUCCUCUAAUCUUCUCUAGUUUAGGAAUCAUUAGUGUGUUUUUUAAUGCCAAUCCUUGUUGUUGUAUCCAUAAAUACCUGAUGGCACAAGUACUCCAGUUACUUAGACCUGUAGUGAAUUUCAUAGUUGCAACAGUUAAAUUAUCUAAAUAAUUAUACAUUGAUUUAUCUAAAUCCAAUCCUGUAACCUGUGAUUUAACAACAGUUGGAGCCCAGUUUGCAGUAUCAUGGAAACCAGUCCCUAUAUGCAUGCUGGCCGUAUUUAACUUAUUCUUGAGGGUCUCCAUAUCUAUAACUAUUUAGUAUACCCAUAGUGGUUCCAGCACCUCCUAACAGUGUGUCAUACCAUUCCCUUUUCUGCCUUUGUUUGCUGUUACAUAAUGUUACAACAGGAGUAGUGAUUUUUAAUGACACAUGUACAGCUUGUAAGAAGGCAGUUGUAUUAAUACAUGUGGACGAAAUAGGUGUGUGUGUGUCGUUGUUGACUUUUGGUUCUAUGGUAGAGGAUAAAGGACAGUAAUAAGGUGUAAAAAUAUAAGGUAGUGUAUAGUUCUCAAUUGCAGUGUCGUUCAUAAUGACUAACAUUUGUCCCCUUUUCCGAUUAAUGAUACCAGUUAUAUAAUCAUUAUUAAAAGUAAUAAGGCCUGUCUGUUUACAUUGUUAUGCAACCUUAACUGUGCACAUUUCUGCGUUAUAAGAUCUAACAAUUUUCUGUGAACCUUCAAACAAACAUAAUGCAUCGGUUUCAUUAGCUGUGGACACAUUUGAUAUGGGUAACUGGUACUUAUAAGGGUUACUAUUUGUCCAAUUCAUCCAAAUGCGUUCAGUCAAUGAGUGCUUGCAUAUUACAUGCUGAUAGAAAGGUGGUGAAGAAAGGUUCUUGAGGGGGCGUGUGUGACGAAUGCUAGAUGAGGAGCUAAGGCCUAAUUGGGCUGGGGGUAUUGAAGAAUUGUUCAUCAUGUCAGAGUCUUUUUUCCAGAAACAAACACGUUUCAAACUUGCCAUUGACUUGUACUCAUAAUGGCAUUCAAGGAACAAUAUCAGAGGGAGUAUAACAACUCCAGAAAGCAUAGCGCACAACAUAAUCUUGGUCUCUGGUACGUAUGAUCCUCUCAAUCUACAAUAUGGUGUGAAAGCCAUGAUGCUUUGCUGAGGAGAAAUUCUUCUGUUUCCGAGCGAGGAGUGGUGUUGUCUUCCUUGGUUCCCCUCUUUGGACACAGCUUCACUCGGGAUGUGUGAAUCCAGAUGUCAUGGGAAUCUGUGAGGACAGCGGUUCUGGGUACAGCAAUCACAGUAGCAGGUGGUCCAAAAGGGUAUCCUCCUUUCUUGGUCCUGUUCAGCUGACGGAUAUACACCUUGUCACCGGGCUGGUAUGGAUGAGUAGGUUCCUGUGAAGGUAAGGGAAAACUGCGAAGAAACAUUGUCAUACAUACCAUUCGGUUUUAUCAACAAUUCCUGUACAUAUUGUUCUUGUAUUAGCUGUAAAUCCCCAGACAUUAUAACAAGCGGUUCCCUGGCCCAGGGUGUGGGAAAAAGUCAUCCCAUCAAAAUCUCA
Molecule: long non-coding RNA, 2291 nt
Filed under: Pelobates cultripes (western spadefoot toad)
Lineage: Eukaryota; Metazoa; Chordata; Amphibia; Anura; Pelobatidae
Source: RNAcentral